This 430-nucleotide small RNA is filed under the name Pan troglodytes (chimpanzee). Its description in RNAcentral is "sense overlapping". Lineage: Eukaryota; Metazoa; Chordata; Mammalia; Primates; Hominidae. The record is from RNAcentral.
CGGCCUGGGGCACCGGGGCUGCCAGCGUCGGAGGAGGCCUGAGAACUGGGAGGAAGCUGGAGAAAAGAUGCCCUCUGAAUCUUUGUGUUUGGCUGCCCAGGCUCGCCUUGACACCGAAUGGUUGAAAACAGAUAUACAGAUGAUAGUGUCGAACCAAGUGGAACAAAGAAAGAAGAUCUGAAUGACAAAGAGAAAAAAGAUGAAGACGAAACUCCUGCACCUGUAUAUAGGGCCAAGUCAAUUCUGGAGACCUGGGUGUGGGUCAAGCAACCAGGUAAUCUUCUGAGUUUUGACACUUUGGAAAGCUUGAUCUGACGCUCCUUUUCUAAAUAACUUGGAUGGAUUAUUCGUAUUUUUUGGUAACAAUUUUAAAAAAUGUAAUUAAAAAAAUUUAAAUAUCGUGGUAAAAUAUACAUACCGUAAAACUUGC